AACGAACGCUGGCGGCAUGCCUAACACAUGCAAGUCGAACGAGACCUUCGGGUCUAGUGGCGCACGGGUGCGUAACGCGUGGGACCCUGCCCUUAGGCUCGGAAUAAUUCUCCGUCAGGGGUGCUAAUACCGGAUAAUGUCUUCGGACCAAACAUUUAUCGCCUUUGGAUGGGCCCGGGUUGUUUUAGCUUGUUGGUAGGGAAAAAGCCUACCAAGGAUACGAUCAAUAGCUGGUUUGAGAGGAUGAGCAGCCACACUGGGACUGGGACACGGCCCAGACUCCUACGGGAGGCAGCAGUGGGGAAUAUUGGACUAUGGGCGAAAGCCUGAUCCAGCAAUGCCGGGAGAGUGAUGAAGUCCGUAGAGUUAUAAAGCUCUUUAACCCGGGAUGAUAAUGACAGUACCGAGAGAAUAAGCUCCGGCUAACUCCGUG
Molecule: ribosomal RNA, 433 nt
Filed under: uncultured bacterium
Lineage: Bacteria
Description: partial 16S ribosomal RNA
Rfam family: Bacterial small subunit ribosomal RNA
Source: RNAcentral